Triticum dicoccoides is the source of this 137-nucleotide long non-coding RNA. RefSeq lists it as uncharacterized. The record is from RefSeq and is a predicted model, not a curated record. NCBI's taxonomy places the organism in Eukaryota, Viridiplantae, Streptophyta, Magnoliopsida, Poales, Poaceae. The transcript is spliced from 3 exons.
UACUAAACAGGUUCCACGCAGGGCACCCUGCAAACAAGUUGGUACACUUGAGGCGUCAUCCAGUAUCCCAAAAUCUAGGAAGUCAAGUGGAAUUAAUGCCGCUAAAAAGGUGCGGUUUACCAAGACUAGGUCUUCUC